Talpa occidentalis (Iberian mole) is the source of this 2761-nucleotide long non-coding RNA. RefSeq lists it as uncharacterized. The record is from RefSeq and is a predicted model, not a curated record. The transcript is spliced from 4 exons. NCBI's taxonomy places the organism in Eukaryota, Metazoa, Chordata, Mammalia, Eulipotyphla, Talpidae.
CACCUGCUGCUCCCCUCAGCAGUGUAUUUAGUCAGUCUGCCUGUUCUGGUGAAUCCUCUUACCCCCUGCACAUUUUGCCUGUACCCCAGUUCUUGUAUGCAUAAAUAAAUAAUUUUUUUUUUUUUAAGGAGGUGGAUGCAGCAUGGUUUGUAAGAAAAAACAAAAGAUAAUGUCAAAAAAUUGCUAGUUUUGGAGCCUCCCUGGUGACUCAAGGGUUUAAGACACAGCACUAUGAAGCUGUCCAUAGUCACUGCAGCAGGAGUUCGACCCCCAGCCAAGCUGUUGACCCACAUGUGUACUUUGGUCAAUUUGCCUGUUCUGUUCCCCACUCUAUCUCUGGUGGAUCCUCUCAUCCCCCACACCUCUGGCUUAUACCCUUGUUCUUGUAUGCAUAAAUAAAUCUUUUUAAAAAAUUGCUAGUUUUUUACAGGAUCUCAAAACUACAAACCCACAUUUGAUCACAAAAUAUGACACUUUUAUAAUGGCCAAAGAAGGCAAUGAUUAUUAAGAAGCCCAAGGAUCAUGUUUAUUCAAAAUUAUAAUAUGCAUAGUAAUGGACAACUAAUAGGGAGGCUCUGGAGGCCUAGUAGCUUUUAUCUGGCUUUGAAUAUGUAGAGUCCAUCUACAAGGUUUAAAAUAUGGAAACAUAUUUGAAUUUAAUACAUUAUGAUUCAGAAGACCCUGAAUCUUUACAUUGAGAUAUCAAGGGUCAAGGGCUCCAGGUUAAGAUGAAAACUCUUCUCUAUCACUUUAUUUGCCCUUUAGAACAUAUUGUAUUUGGUAGAUUGUCGGGGGGCAGUCCUGUGGGAAUGAUAGUAAUUGGGGGAGCAGUGGGCGAGUCGGGAGAGGUCUGCUGCACCAUGUGGGUUUCUCCCUGGCUGGGGAUCAAACUCGGGCUGCAAUGUCUGGCGAUAGCUUGAUAGCGCUGUCUUUAACCCCUGUGCCAGCAGGGAGGCCCUGUUGCUUUUUUUUAACUUACAUUUCUUCUCAACGUUUUCUGUAUUUUGUGAAAUUGCAAAAUGGUUUUGAAUGAACUUGAACCACCAUUUACAAUCAUGGAUUUCAAGCAGAAGAGGAAGAAUACCAUGAGUUUUCCCCUUCUAUUAAAUAAUAUUAAGAAUAGGAAUAAUUUUAACAAGCAUAGUAGAGUUUAACAUCCCUUGAAGAAGGAUCCGUUGCGGUCAUGUUGAAAGCUUUCCUGGAGAUGGGAGGCUAAACGCAGGUUAAUGCUUUGUACACAUUUCUUUAUGUAACCACUGACUGGUUCUCCACAAUUUUAUAAAGACAAAUUGGGGCUUUUUUCGUUGUCAGGGAAGACUAGGAUGGCAUACUUGGCCACGGCAUGAUCCAUGAGUUAAAGACGUUAUUAUUUGCUCUUUCCCAUGUUAGGACUUUCUCCAGCAUUUCUGCUUGUCUGCUAUCUAAAGAAAUCCCAAUCAAGACACCACUAAUCAGGGCUCCACAUAGGCUCCCUGAUUCUUUAAGAAUGGUAAAAGAUGAAUCCAUCAGUCUUGAACACCAAAACUUCAUCACUCUCUGAGGUGUGGCCUGAACCCAGAAAACAGCCUCACAGUGGCAGGAGGGAAUGCUUCUUAAGCUGAAAGUCAGAGGCCUUUGGGCUGAGAUGGUAAGGUCUGGUGUAGGGAUUGGGAUCUACUUGGAGAGGACUCUGUCCAUUCUGGAAGGGUCUGGGUGGGAGUGCUUGCUAAUCUCUGAGCUGUUCUGAGCACCCAGAUUCCCUGCUUCCACUUCUUCCACACUCUGCUAUCGACAGUAGUAAAAUACAGAGUGUCAGGAGGCAGUGGAAAUUCCCCAGGCCGCUGGGUUCUUCUUGGCCUAGGUGAACACACAAGUUACCUUCAGGCAGAAGAGUAGAAGAAAGGGACCCAAUAACACACGUAUGGAGAAUCUACAUGAAAAUUCAUUCCAACGGGGAUGAUCCUGUAAGAGCAAACCAUGCUGGUUCAGUCUAUAAUGUCACAUCCACGAGGAAAAGGUAACAAAGUUUCUGGAAGAAUACUUAUUAAAAUGUUAUCUAUUUUCUUCAAGUGGAGUAAAAUCAGAAAAAAAAGAAGUUGUGGGAAGAUGAUGCUGUUGACAUUGUAAUGAUGUCUUGAAUUCACUUGACUCAACUUCAGCUUCACCUAAGGAUAGCUUCUUAAUUUUCAGUAAUUUAAAAAAGACGAUGGUCUUUUCUGUUGAAUUAUUUAUUGUAAUUUUAGUGUAAGUUAUAUAACCAAAGGAAACUUUUAAAAGAUAUUGUAUAAAUACUAGAAUGCAGCUUCAUCUAGAUUUUACAAAUAUUGGUGAAACUAUAUUAAAAUCAUAGAAAUCUGAAUGUCAACAUUAUAGUCGAGAUGAACACACAGGAAUAUUAACACUUAAUUCUGCUGUUCCACAAUGUCAAUUUGAAACUAAAUUUCGACAGGCAAAAUCAACUCCUGUUUUCUUUUUACUAGUCUUUUUAGACUCAGUAGGCAUAUCACGGUACUGAAGAAAUAAGAAAAAUAAAUUAAAGUCUUAGUGUCACAAAAAAGAAUAGAAAAAAUUCUAAUUUCACAAACAAGCACUCUCCAAUAAGUGUAAAAACGGAAGCCUGCAUAUGCUGUAUAACUGUUGAAAAUAUCAUGUGAGUCAUCAACUGGCAGAAAGAAUUCAUUUUUAAAAAAUAUAAUAAUUUUUUUCUAAACCAAUAAAUGUUUUUUCAGCUGUGUAUGGGUCUCUAUAAUUAUUAUCACUGUUCCUAUAUAAUUGAAAGCCU